UACAGAGGCGGCAAGCGUUGUUCGGAUUUAUUGGGUGUAAAGGGCAGGUAGGUGGUCAUGUAAGUCCGCUGUGAAAUCCUAGGGCUCAACCCUAGAACUGCAGUAGAAACUACACGACUUGAGUAUCAGAGAGAUGAGGGGAAUUCUCGGUGUAAGGGUGAAAUGCGUUGAUAUCAUCAGGAACACCGGAGGCGAAGGCGGCUCACUGGGUAUCUUCUGACGCUGAGGUACGAAAGCUAGGGGAGCGAACGGG
Molecule: ribosomal RNA, 253 nt
Filed under: uncultured bacterium
Lineage: Bacteria
Description: partial 16S ribosomal RNA
Rfam family: Bacterial small subunit ribosomal RNA
Source: RNAcentral